Molecule: long non-coding RNA, 4957 nt
Organism: Saccostrea cuccullata (small rock oyster)
Lineage: Eukaryota; Metazoa; Mollusca; Bivalvia; Ostreida; Ostreidae
Exons: 2
Source: RefSeq, a predicted model, not a curated record
UUUAGUAUGAACAUUAAGAAUAUGUUUAAGAUACCUGUGAAAACAUUCAAUAUAUUGUUGCAAUAUUGGUGGAAACAUUCAGUAUAAUUUCGAUUAGUUUUGUUUUGUUUUUUGUGAAUGUUUAAGGUUUUGAUGGAAACAUUCAGUGUAAUGAUUAAAAGUUUUCCUGGAAAUUAAGUAUUUUAUUUCAAAAUUUUGGGAACACAUUCAGUUCAAUGUACCAUUGUUUUUGUGCAAACAUUCAGUAUAAUGUUUUAAAGUUUUUGAAGAUACAUUCAGUAUGCUUCAUUGUCUUUGUGACAACAUUCAUUGUAAAUAAUAUUUCAAAGUUUUUGUCUUAAACAUUCAGUAUAAUGUUUCAAAGUUUGUGUCGAAACGUUCAUUAUGAUAUUUCAAGUUUUGUGGAAACAUUAAGUAUAAUGUUUCAAGUUUUUGUGGAAACAUUCAGUAUAAUGUUUCAAGUUUUUUUUGUGUAAGCAUUUAGUUUAAUGUUUCAAGAUUUUGUGGAGGCAUUCAGUAUAAAGUUUCAAAGUUGAUGUUAAAACAUUCAGUUUAUUGUGUCAAGUUUGUUUUGGAAACAUUCAGUAUAAUGUUUCGAGUUUUUGUGGAAACAUUCAGUAUAAUGUUUUUUGGUUUUUUGUGGAAAAAUUCAGUAUAUUGUUUCAAAUGUAAUGUGUAAGCAUUCAGUAUAAAGUUUCAAGUUUGUUUUGGAAACAUUUAAUAGAAUGUUUCAAAGUUUUUGUGAAAAAUAUUCAGUAUCAUGUUUCAUAGUCAUGUAUUAGUGUUUGUGGAAACAUUCAGUACAAUGUGUCAAAGUUUAUGUUUAAACAGUCAGUAUAAUGUUUAAAUUCUGUUUUGGAAACAUUCAGUACAAUGUGUCAAAGUUUAUGUUGAAACAGUUAGUAUAAUGUUUGAAUUCUGUUGGAAACAUUCAGUAUAAUGUUUCAAGUUUUUAUGGAAACAUUCAGUAUAAUGUUUCGAAGGUUUUUUGGAAAACAUUCAGUAUAACGUUUCAAAGGUUUUGUGGAAACAUUCAGUAUAAGGUUUCAAGUCUUUGUUUAAACAUUCAAUAUAAUGUUUCAAAGUUUUGUGGAAGCAUUCAGUAUAAUGUUUCAAGUUUUGAUGGAAACAUGCAGUUUGAUGUUUCAAAGUUUUUGUGGAAACAUUCAAUAUAAUGUUUCAAAGGUUUUGUGAAAACAUUCAGUAUAAUGUUUCAAAUGUUUUAUGGAAACAUUCUGUAUAAUGUUUCAAAGGUUUUGUGGAAGCAUUAAGUAUAAUGUUUCAAGUUUUGAUGGAAACAUGCAGUUUGAUGCUUCAAAAUUUAUUGUGGAAACAUUCAGUAUAAUGUUUCAAAAGUUUUUUGAAAACAUUCAGUAUAAUGUUUCAAAUGUUUUAUGGAAACAUUCUGUAUAAUGUUUCAAAAUUUUUGUGGAAACAUUCAGUAUAAUGUUUCAAAGGUUUUGUGGAAACAUUCAGUAUAAUGUUUCAAGUCUUUGAGGAAACAUUCAGUAUAAUGUUUCAAAGGUUUGUGGAAACAUUCAGUAUAAUGUUUCAUAGUGUUUGUGGAAGCAUUCGGUAUAAUAUUUAAAGCUUGUUUCAGAAACAUACAGUAUAAUGUUUCAAACUUUUUAUGGAAACAUUCAGUAUAAUGUUUCAAAGGUUUUGUGGAAACAUUCAGUAUAAUGUUUCAUAGUCACGUAUUAGUGUUUGUGGAAACAUUCAGUAUAAUGUUUCAUAGUUUGGUAUAAUGUUUAAAGUUUGUUGUAAAAACAUGCAGUAUAAUGUUUCAAAUUUUUUAUGGAAAAAUUUAGUGAAUGUUUCAAUGGUUUUGUGGAAACAUUCAGUAUAUAGUUUCAAAAGGAUUUUGGAAAUAUUCAGUAUAAUAUUCAUAGUGUUUGUGGAAACAUUUAGUAUAAUGUUAAUCAUAUCAGUAGAAACAUUUUGUUUCAUAUUUCAAUUUGAUGAGGAAAGAACUUUCAGUAUUAUGAGAAACUUAAAUAGAUAUUUCAAUAAUUCUUUUCAUGCUGUACAUGUAGCAUGUCAUCAAGACUGUUCUGAAAAGCUCAAUGUAAAUUGUUUCUCAUUUUGUUUGGGUUCCAGUAUCUAAAUAUUCGUAGGCUUUAGUAGUGCAUUACACUCAUACACUAUUUACCAUGGUAUUCUGUUACUUGUAGCAGUACAUCGAUGCCAAGGGCCAACCUGAACUAUAAAGGGAUCAACACCUAACCUCAGUACCAACCAAGGCACAUAAUGGAGAGGCAAUGUACCCUACAAAUUUCAGAUGGCGGAAAUUGUGCAUUAUUGGAACGUCAUCCCAGCUGCAAAAUUGUUCAACAAAAAUCCUAAAGGAACAAAUGCCCCCAAUGACCUAAUCACAGUGUCAUGGAAAAUCUUGGUCCCAAAAAUAAAAAUGCUGAAACAGUGCUCUCAAAUGGAACCUAAAUGCGGAUAUAUGAUCAAGCGAUCAACAAGGUCAUUCAAGAAAUUUAGACCCUGUUGUUUGUGGAAUAAAGACAAGGGAAGUCACGUUUAUUAUAUACAUGUACCAAUUCUGCGAGUUCAAGAAACCGCGACUGUGUCAGACGAGGAGAAAACGUGAAAAUUAAAACCGUGAAAUUAAUCCCCUAUACAGUAUUCUGGACAUGAUGUCAGCUUCAUAGUAAACUGUUGGAAAAUGAUGCCACCAAAGAUUGAAACCCACACCAUCAGGAAGGGCAAGCUACACACUUAAAAUGCUCAAGCUCCUCUUAUGGAUUCUAUGUUGAUAUCUGUGUUGAAUGGCAAAUAUCAUUUUCUCCAACAUGUACUGCCAAGGAACAUCAUAUAUAGAGUAGUCAGCACCUGUCAUUCAUCUAAUGUGUAAAUAAGAUUUGGCAAUGUAUUAGCUUCUUAUGUAACAUUAAUUGUUCUAUCAUUAAUUUUGUAAAUCUGGUCAUUAGUCCAGUAAAGUGUUUAUCAAAUAUUCCACAAUGUAUAUCCUCUAUAGUCAUCAACUCUGUAUAACUCAGCUCAAUUUUAAUGUCUUCAUAAUCGGCAAUGUAUUAGCUUCUUAUGUAACAUUAAUUGUUCUAUCAUUAAUUUUGUAAAUCUGGUCAUUAGUCCAGUAAAGUGUUUAUCAAAUAUUCCACAAUGUACAUCCUCUAUAGUCAUCAACUCUAUAUAACUCAGCUCAGUUUUAAUGUCUUCAUAAUCGGCUUACUAAUAUCAAUGAGUUCAGCAUUGAAACUUGCCUGCAUAGUCUUUGAGCUACAUGUAAGAUGACGGCUACUCAUUUAAAUUGUAUGUUGAAAUCUGCCCGCAUAGACUUGAGUUAAGAUACAUAGUUCAGCAGAGAGCUGCUUAUGUAAAUUGUGCUUCAAAAUCUGCUUGCAUAGUCUUGAGUUAAGAUACAUUAGUUCAGCGGAUAGCUGCUCAUGUGAAUUGUGCUGCAAACUCUGCUUGCAUAGUCUUGAGUUAAGACACAUGAGUUCAGAGGAUAGCUCCUCAUGUAAAUUGUUUGUUACAAUCUGCUUGCAUAGUCGAGAGUUAAGAUACAUGACUUCAGCGGAUAGCUGCUCAUGUAAAUUGUAUAAUAAAAUCUGGCUUGCAUAGUCUUGAGUUAAGAUACAUGGCUUCAGCGCAUUGCUGCUCAUGUAAAUUGUGUGUUAAAAUCUGCUUGCAUAGUCUUAGCUCAAGAUACAUGAAUUCAGCGGUUAGCUGCUCAUGUAAAUUGUAUGUUAAAAACUCUGCCUGCAUUGUCUUGAGGUUAGAUUAAGACCUACCUAAUUUUACAUAUAUACUAAACAUUCCUUGCAGUGAUUUUGGCUUCUCUUGAUCCACAAUUGAACAGCUAACAGGUGAAUGUUAAUGUCUUUGUUGCAUCAGUACUUGUUAUUUGUCAAGAACACCUAGUCUAAAAUGUAUGUGAUAUCAUAUGAACUUCAACUUCAAUGUUGUUUUAUAUAUUUUUAAAAAAAAAAUACUUCAAAAAAUGCUGUAAAUUUCAGUAUUUUUACUAUUUUUAUAAAAAUGUUUUCUUUUGAUUUUUCUCCUUGUUUGGCGUCAACCCCUCACUGAUUGAGGGCUUGUGGCGCAAUUGUUUGGACGCCUCCAAGGAUUUACUCAUUUAUGUUAUAUUUUAUGCAUAUUUACAUGUACUCUGAUAUGUUCACUGCAUGUAAAUUUCUAGUCAGUCUCAGGGGGAUCACACUUGUACCUUUCACCUGUGUACAUGUAACCUGUAUUGUUUAAUAUUAGAUGAUCCCCCUUAAUGAUUUGUUAUACAUUUUACGAUAUGUCAUUGAAUAAAAUGACAUAUUCGACAAAACUGCAUAUCUGUAUUUGGUUGUUUUUCACUGCACUUUCAGGCUGAUAUUUCUUAUAGGAGGCAUAAAACAAUAUUAUCACAGAUAAUUCAAUUUAUGCCGCUUUGAGAAAUAUAUUAUAUUUUACACCUAAGGAUAAUUCUGCAUAUCCCUGCGCAGUCUGCAGGAUAUGCGCCCUUAUCGCAGCGCAAUUAUCAUAGAACCUUUCAUUGCGAAAUCGCACCUUAUUUUGCUUGACAGAGUUAUCCAAUCAAAAUCCUUGAUUUUGUUGCGCCAUUUUUGUUAGCCUGGCAGUGCAUUGAAGAAAAAAACCCACCACCCACCCUUUUUGGGGUUUUUGGUUUUAUAUUAUUUUGCAUUUUAGUCCAGAUUUGUAUUUUUCUAACUAACUUGUCAUAUGUUUCUUGAUUGGCUCAAUUGUUUGAAAGCCCCCAAAGAUUUAAUCAUUUAUGUUAUAUUUUAUGCAUAUUUACAUGUACUCUGAUAUGUUCACUGCAUGUAAAUUUCUAGUCAGUCUCAGGGGGAUCACACUUGUACCUUUCACCUGUGUACAUGUAACCUGUAUUGUUUAAUAUUAGAUGAUCCCCCUUAAUGAUUUGUUAUACAUUUUACUAUAUGUCAUUGAAUAAAAUGACAUAUUCGACAAAACUGCA